Molecule: ribosomal RNA, 95 nt
Filed under: Podosphaera filipendulae
Lineage: Eukaryota; Fungi; Ascomycota; Leotiomycetes; Helotiales; Erysiphaceae
Description: partial 28S ribosomal RNA
Rfam family: Eukaryotic large subunit ribosomal RNA
Source: RNAcentral
AUGACCUCGGAUCAUGUAGGGAUACCCGCUGAACUUAAGCAUAUCAAUAAGCGGAGGAAAAGAAACCAACAGGGAUUACCUCAGUAACGGCGAGU